This 888-nucleotide ribosomal RNA is filed under the name Bacillus subtilis. RNAcentral's name for it is "bacterial SSU rRNA". It matches the Rfam family "Bacterial small subunit ribosomal RNA", at positions 61 to 928 of the family's 1533-position model. Lineage: Bacteria; Bacillati; Bacillota; Bacilli; Caryophanales; Bacillaceae. The record is from RNAcentral.
GUCGAGCGGACAGAUGGGAGCUUGCUCCCUGAUGUUAGCGGCGGACGGGUGAGUAACACGUGGGUAACCUGCCUGUAAGACUGGGAUAACUCCGGGAAACCGGGGCUAAUACCGGAUGCUUGUUUGAACCGCAUGGUUCAAACAUAAAAGGUGGCUUCGGCUACCACUUACAGAUGGACCCGCGGCGCAUUAGCUAGUUGGUGAGGUAAUGGCUCACCAAGGCAACGAUGCGUAGCCGACCUGAGAGGGUGAUCGGCCACACUGGGACUGAGACACGGCCCAGACUCCUACGGGAGGCAGCAGUAGGGAAUCUUCCGCAAUGGACGAAAGUCUGACGGAGCAACGCCGCGUGAGUGAUGAAGGUUUUCGGAUCGUAAAGCUCUGUUGUUAGGGAAGAACAAGUACCGUUCGAAUAGGGCGGUACCUUGACGGUACCUAACCAGAAAGCCACGGCUAACUACGUGCCAGCAGCCGCGGUAAUACGUAGGUGGCAAGCGUUGUCCGGAAUUAUUGGGCGUAAAGGGCUCGCAGGCGGUUUCUUAAGUCUGAUGUGAAAGCCCCCGGCUCAACCGGGGAGGGUCAUUGGAACUGGGGAACUUGAGUGCAGAAGAGGAGAGUGGAAUUCCACGUGUAGCGGUGAAAUGCGUAGAGAUGUGGAGGAACACCAGUGGCGAAGGCGACUCUCUGGUCUGUAACUGACGCUGAGGAGCGAAAGCGUGGGGAGCGAACAGGAUUAGAUACCCUGGUAGUCCACGCCGUAAACGAUGAGUGCUAAGUGUUAAGGGGGUUUCCGCCCCUUAGUGCUGCAGCUAACGCAUUAAGCACUCCGCCUGGGGGAGUACGGUCGCAAGACUGAAACUCAAAGGAAUUUGACGGGGGCCCGCACAA